AAGGCAGGGAGAGAGGGAGGAGGUCAGGGAGCCCUGGGGUGGAGGGGGAACGCAGAGCAUCCCCUGUGCGGACGUCCCAUUCCGACCUCAGAGGGACAAUCCCAUGGGAUGCGGGGGAGAAACCACUCUCUUCUUCGGGAUUGCAUUGGGAACAACGGGUCGGGAAAUGCGUGGGUGCCCGCAGAGAGCCGGGCCUGCGUGGGGAGCACAAACCGGUCCCAGUUCCGCACUGGGAAGCAGCGGUGUGGAUGCGGAGGAAGAGUGGGGCACGGCAGGCCGAGGUCAGCAGGAUGUGGGGGGAUGGGGAGACACCCGUGUGGCACUGCUGGGGAUAAGAGGGACGUGAGUAUGGCACCAUGGGGAGAGGGGAGACAUCACUAUGGUGCCAUGGGAUUAGGGGAGACACCAGUACGGCACCAUGGGGAUAGGAGGGACAUGAGUAUGGCACCAUGGGGAUAGGGGAAACAUGAGUAUGGCAACAUGGGGAUAGGGGAGAUAUGAGUAUGGCACCAUGGGGAUAAGGGAGAUGUGAGUAUGGCAGCAUGGGGAUAGGGGAGACACCAGUAUGGCCCCAUGGGGAUAGGGGAGACAUGAGUAUGGCAUCAGAGGAAUAGGGGAGACACAAAUAUGGUGCCAUGGGGAUAGGAGGGACAUGAGUAUGGCACCAUGGGGAGAGGGGAGACACGAGUAUGGCACCACAGGGACAGGGGAGACAGCAGUACGGCAGCACGGGACCCAGGCCUGGCUCCUGGAAUGGGGCACCUCUCCUGGCACAAACGCCCACCGAUCCGAGCGCACAGCAGCC
This 805-nucleotide long non-coding RNA is filed under the name Gallus gallus (chicken). RNAcentral describes it as "lncRNA (ENSGALG00010003663.1)". Lineage: Eukaryota; Metazoa; Chordata; Aves; Galliformes; Phasianidae. The record is from RNAcentral.